This is a long non-coding RNA of Chenopodium quinoa (quinoa), 325 nucleotides long. RefSeq lists it as uncharacterized. Lineage: Eukaryota; Viridiplantae; Streptophyta; Magnoliopsida; Caryophyllales; Amaranthaceae. The transcript is spliced from 3 exons. The record is from RefSeq and is a predicted model, not a curated record.
CAGGAGCACUUAUGGGAGCUUGGUUCUCCAUGUCAAAUUGGGUGGUUAUGCCCUGAGCAGAUCUCCACUGCUAGAAUCUUAGGCAACCACACUGACGUGUUGUACUAUGUUGAAUGGGGUAUCAAGGAAUCAGUGCAUGCGGGAGACAUGUUUAUAUUUGCCACAUAUUAUGAGGAUUAUCAUUGGACCCUACUGGUGAUUUGUGUUUCCAGUAACACAAUCUUCUUCUUUGAUUCUGCUCGGUUACCUCAACCAAGAAAGCGCCUCGUGAAGUCCAUACUACAAAAUGUUAUGAAGAAGAUAAAUUCUCGAGCUCCUCGAGGUC